This 253-nucleotide ribosomal RNA is filed under the name uncultured bacterium. RNAcentral's name for it is "partial 16S ribosomal RNA". It matches the Rfam family "Bacterial small subunit ribosomal RNA", at positions 524 to 776 of the family's 1533-position model. The record is from RNAcentral.
GACAGAGGGUGCAAACGUUGCUCGGAAUUACUGGGCGUAAAGCGCGUGUAGGCGGACCGAUAAGUCAGGCGUGAAAUCCCCGAGCUCAACUCGGGAACUGCACCUGAAACUGCCGGUCUAGAGUGAUGGAGAGGGUAGCGGAAUUCCUGGUGUAGAAGUGAAAUUCGUAGAUAUUGGGAGGAACACCAGUGGCGAAGGCGGCUCACUGGACCGGAACUGACGCUGAGGCGCGAAAGCGUGGGGAGCAAACAGG